Molecule: ribosomal RNA, 225 nt
Filed under: uncultured bacterium
Lineage: Bacteria
Description: partial 16S ribosomal RNA
Rfam family: Bacterial small subunit ribosomal RNA
Source: RNAcentral
AGUAACGCGUGGGUAACCUGCCUCACACAGGGGGAUAGCAGUUGGAAACGGCUGAUAAUACCGCAUAAGCGCACAGUACCGCAUGGUACAGUGUGAAAAACUCCGGUGGUGUGAGAUGGACCCGCGUCUGAUUAGCUAGUUGGCGGGGUAACGGCCCACCAAGGCAACGAUCAGUAGCCGACCUGAGAGGGUGACCGGCCACAUUGGGACUGAGACACGGCCCAG